CCUACGGGAGGCAGCAGUGAGGAAUAUUGGUCAAUGGACGAGAGUCUGAACCAGCCAAGUAGCGUGAAGGAUGACUGCCCUAUGGGUUGUAAACUUCUUUUAUAUGGGAAUAAAAUGUUCCACGUGUGGGAUUUUGUAUGUACCAUAUGAAUAAGGAUCGGCUAACUCCGUGCCAGCAGCCGCGGUAAUACGGAGGAUCCGAGCGUUAUCCGGAUUUAUUGGGUUUAAAGGGAGCGUAGGUGGAUUGUUAAGUCAGUUGUGAAAGUUUGCGUCUCAACCGUAAAAUUGCAGUUGAAACUGGCAGUCUUGAGUACAGUAGAGGUGGGCGGAAUUCGUGGUGUAGCGGUGAAAUGCUUAGAUAUCACGAAGAACUCCGAUUGCGAAGGCAGUUCACUGGACUGCAACUGACACUGAGGCUCGAAAGUGUGGGUAUCAAACAGGAUUAGAUACCCCUGUAGUC
Molecule: ribosomal RNA, 460 nt
Filed under: uncultured bacterium
Lineage: Bacteria
Description: partial 16S ribosomal RNA
Rfam family: Bacterial small subunit ribosomal RNA
Source: RNAcentral